GGGUUUAUAGCUCAGUGGUAGAGCAGGGGAUUGCAGAUCCCAAGGUCCCGUGUUCAAAUCACGGUAGGCCCU
Molecule: transfer RNA, 72 nt
Filed under: Apophysomyces sp. BC1034
Lineage: Eukaryota; Fungi; Mucoromycota; Mucoromycetes; Mucorales; Mucoraceae
Also listed under: 2 other names
Rfam family: tRNA
About the family: Transfer RNA (tRNA) molecules are approximately 80 nucleotides in length. Their secondary structure includes four short double-helical elements and three loops (D, anti-codon, and T loops). Further hydrogen bonds mediate the characteristic L-shaped molecular structure. tRNAs have two regions of fundamental functional importance: the anti-codon, which is responsible for specific mRNA codon recognition, and the 3' end, to which the tRNAs corresponding amino acid is attached (by aminoacyl-tRNA synthetases). tRNAs cope with the degeneracy of the genetic code in two manners: having more than one tRNA (with a specific anti-codon) for a particular amino acid; and 'wobble' base-pairing, i.e. permitting non-standard base-pairing at the 3rd anti-codon position.
Source: Rfam by way of RNAcentral